CAUCACUUAGAAAAGCGAACAGUAGUUGAAAAGAAUGUGGGUAUGGGGGUCUGAUGUGAAAUGGCUACAACAGCAGCCUCCGAGGUAGUGUGUGCAGCCUGUUGCAUGUAUGGAUUGCCCUAAGGAACUUUGGAGACAGUU
Small nucleolar RNA from Nannospalax galili (Upper Galilee mountains blind mole rat), 141 nucleotides. Its record names the gene SNORA70. It matches the Rfam family "Small nucleolar RNA SNORA70". From Rfam's summary of the family: snoRNA U70 seems to be exclusive to mammals and is a member of the H/ACA class of snoRNA which contain H (ANANNA) and ACA box motifs. H/ACA box snoRNAs are involved in the conversion of uridines to pseudouridines (5-ribosyluracil) a constituent of structural RNAs (transfer, ribosomal, small nuclear, and small nucleolar). The record is from Ensembl. Lineage: Eukaryota; Metazoa; Chordata; Mammalia; Rodentia; Spalacidae.